GUCAGAUAGCUCAGUUGGUAAAGAGAGGACUGAAAAUC
This 38-nucleotide transfer RNA is filed under the name Elymus nodosus subsp. caespitosus. RNAcentral's name for it is "partial tRNA-Phe". Lineage: Eukaryota; Viridiplantae; Streptophyta; Magnoliopsida; Poales; Poaceae. The record is from RNAcentral.